RNAcentral lists this ribosomal RNA (434 nucleotides) under uncultured Lachnospiraceae bacterium. RNAcentral describes it as "partial 16S ribosomal RNA". It matches the Rfam family "Bacterial small subunit ribosomal RNA", at positions 341 to 792 of the family's 1533-position model. The record is from RNAcentral. Lineage: Bacteria; Bacillati; Bacillota; Clostridia; Lachnospirales; Lachnospiraceae.
ACGGGAGGUAGCAGUGGGGAAUAUUGCACAAUGGGGGAAACCCUGAUGCAGCGACGCCGCGUGAGUGAAGAAGUAUUUCGGUAUGUAAAGCUCUAUCAGCAGGGAAGAAAAUGACGGUACCUGACUAAGGAGCCCCGGCUAACUACGUGCCAGCAGCCGCGGUAAUACGUAGGGGGCAAGCGUUAUUCGGAUUUACUGGGUGUAAAGGGAGCGUAGACGGCGAUGCAAGUCUGAUGUGAAAUUCCGGGGCUCAACCCCGGCACUGCAUUGGAAACUGUGUUGCUAGAGUGCAGGAGAGGUAAGUGGAAUUCCUAGUGUAGCGGUGAAAUGCGUAGAUAUUAGGAGGAACACCAGUGGCGAAGGCGGCUUACUGGACUGUAACUGACGUUGAGGCUCGAAAGCGUGGGGGGCAAACAGGAUUAGAUACCCUGGUA